Long non-coding RNA from Oncorhynchus tshawytscha (Chinook salmon), 2106 nucleotides. Lineage: Eukaryota; Metazoa; Chordata; Actinopteri; Salmoniformes; Salmonidae. The record is from Ensembl.
GCAGCUAAAAACAACGCUGCGGUGCCGGUCUUUCGGUGUAGUUAUUUCUUGUCACGCUUCAGCCUUGGAAAAUAUUUGUUUUUUCACAACAAACGUUUUCAAUAUAUUCAUUCAAGAAAAGUCACACCUUGGGAGUUUUAUUGAAGACUUAGUUGUUAGCUAUCUGUCUAGUUUUGCAUGAGAACGCAACUCAAGGGCAGAAUAGUGAAAAAACAUCACAGCGGGCUCAAAGCUCAAGAAUAACCACACAUGGUGGUUUUGUUUCUACGUUCAUCAGCCAACAAAGCCUCUGUUCCUAGGGAAGACCAGCAGUCUACUGUACAACAAGAAGAGCCAAGAGUCCGACAGCGAGAGAUGGAGGAGCCUCUUCAGCACAUUGGGAAGAAAUGAACAGCAGCAUGGUGGAAAUGGAAAACAAGCCCACUUCUAGUCAUACACACAAAGCUUCCCUGAGUCACAAGUGUCACCAGACCUCAUCAAGUACCUCCUACACCCGUGAGAUGGUGAGUUCAGGACUCCUGAAGUUUGAUGAUCGCCCUGAAAAUUAUUGGGCAUGGAAAGCAUCCUUUCUCAAUGCGACCAGAGACUUGAAUUUAUCUGCCAGGGAAGAGUUAGAUCUAAUUACCAAGUGGCUAGGGGGGCAGCGUCGUCUGAGAUCUGUCCAUAUUUUCAACGCAUCAGCAGGGCUUAACAUGGUCUGGCAAUGACUAGAAGAGUGCUAUGGUACACCCGAUGUGAUCGAGAAUCCACUGUUGAAGAAAAUGGAUGAUUUUCCAAAACUGGCUAACGAAGACAAUCACAAACUAAGAGAACUAGGUGACAUUCUUCUCGAACUGGAGUGUGCUAAAGUAGAAGGGUACCUUCCAGGCCUCGCUUAUCUGGACACAUCUCGGGGGGUAAACCCUAUUGUAGAGAAACUUCCAUUCAGUUUACAAGAAAAAUGGAUUGCACAGGGAUCCAAAUACAAGGAGGACUAUCGGGUAGCAUUCCUACCAUUCUCGUUCUUCUCGAGAUUCAUCAGGAACCAGGUUGAAAACUAGAAAUGACCCCAGUUUCACCCUCUACACCUCAACUAACCAGGUGUCUAUGAAAAGUGAGAAACCUGCCAGGUACAGCAGCAAGACACCUGUGACUGUAUACAAAACAGAUGCGUCAUCUGAGGCCUCAGACCACCAAACCAAACCCAGUAAGACAAAGGUUGAAAACCCUGACCGUCACUGCCCAAUACAUAACAAGCCUCAUCCUCUUAAAAAGUGUCGUGGGUUUAGAUACAAAACUCUAGAUGAGCGCAAAUCAUAUCUCAAAAGACAAUGGCAUUUGUUUCCGAUGUUGUGGGUCAACUCAGCACAGAGCUAAAGACUAAGGUGUCAAGGUGUGUGAUAUGAUGCCAGACGAUAGGAUGGAGAUUCCCUCCCCCGACAUUGUGUAUCAUCCCCAUCUGCAACCAGUUAUGGACAAAAUUCCAGCUGCGGACCCAGACGCUCCCAUCCUCCUGCUCUUAGGACGAGACAUCUUAAGGGUACACAAGGUACGAGGGCAAAUCAAUGAGCCCCACGACACUCCUUAUGCACAGCGACUCGACCUCGGGUGAGUCAUCGUGGGUGAGGUCUGUCUGGGAACGGCUCACUGACCAGCCAAUGUUAAUGUCUUCAGGACAAACAUACUUCAAAAUGGUUGCACAUCCUAUCUGAGCCCUUUCCCUGACAUCAUCCAGGUAAAAGAGAACGACAACAGCGUAGCUCAGAAACACAUCUCUCCCUCUACAUUGCACUCGACAGAUCCAAGCACAACUGUGAACACAGACAGCCUGGGAUGUUCAGUGUUCGACAAAACACAAGACGAUGAUAAACCAGCACCAUCAGUGGAGGACAAAACCUUCUUGGACAUUAUGGACAAACAUAUUUUCCAGGAUGAUGGCUCCACUACCCUUUCGCCCCACUAGACGUCGCCUUCCCAAUAACAGGGAGCAGUCCAUGAACCAUCUCACAUCACUUCGCAGGACUUUAGACAAAAAGCCUGACAUGAAGCGUCAUUUUAUUGACUUCGUGCAAAAGAUGCCGGAUAACGACCAAGCUGAACCUUCACCGCCACUAGAGGGAGACAAAG